GUGGAGACUGCGAGAGCGGCAGCCCGGAGGCGGCAGAGGAGCUGUGACCCCCGGAGGAAGAGUAUUUUCAGCACCUGUGGAGUAUUAAACAGAAAAAGGGACUUCAUCUGAAACAUUCUAUGGAAUUUUGUGAUGGAGACCACAGUAGACAUGACAACUCAAUUUACGCUGCCCGUAUUCUACGUGUGAUCCCUUGUCUACUAGAAUUAUAGCAAACCUUGAAAUCUUUUGACAUAUACUAAAAAGAACAACUGAAGAGCAAAGCAGAAGGAGAAACAGUUAACAGGAAUCAUACAAAUAUCGUAAGACUGGAUCGCACAAGACUAUCUUCAUGAACUAUGAAGAUGGGUUACGAAGAGUUACACAUCACAUUUGUAUGAGAGCCAUCAUGAAACACUAGGAUUUUAUAAAUUCUCAGCACAACAGGCUGAGAAUAUAUUUUUGAAAGGCUUUUUAUGCCUAAGUGCCAGGACUUUGAAAAUUUGCCUACAAGUGACUGAAACUGAAUCCUGUGUGAACAUGUGAAGUUGAAACUGUGCCUUUGAAAUACAUCUCAGAUUUAGAAUGGCACAUUAUUUCCUCUGUGGUCCUCCCUGCUUGGGAGGACAGCACUGAGAAUAUAAGAGGAAAUAAGGAUUUGAACAGAAUUAAGAAGAUAGAUUUGGAGCAACAGGACUUCUUGGUUGUGAAUAUCCCAGACCAGAACUUAAAAUGCUAAACUUCUGGGAUCCUUAUCUUCUCCCUGCUGUUCCUGUAUAUUGAUGAUGAACAUACAUAAAGCGGAAGGUGACACCAGUCUGAUGGAAGAGGACUUGCCUGCGCAUGGCAAGGGAAAUCUGCCUUCCCAGAAGGCCAGGACGUAACUGCACGGAUCUCCCUGCAUUAGCUGCACACCUGGAUCAUUUUGGCCAGCAUCUCAACUGAAACUUAGACCCAAGGAUCAAUUAUAUUGCCAUUGAAGGACCACGUGAACACCACAUCGACAGAGGAGUCAUGAGACACCUGGCAGGGAAGGACUAUGCUUUCUCCAACUGUAACAUCCAUAUUAGAAGGUGGAAUAGUAAUUACAGUCCUUUCUGUGGAGACAAAAAAUUUCCCUUUUAUUAAAAUGCUUACAAAAAUA
Molecule: long non-coding RNA, 1123 nt
Organism: Dromaius novaehollandiae (emu)
Lineage: Eukaryota; Metazoa; Chordata; Aves; Casuariiformes; Dromaiidae
Exons: 6
Source: RefSeq, a predicted model, not a curated record